GGUUGGUCCGAGUGCAGUGAUGUUUACAACCAAUUAAUCACAAGCAGUUACAGAUUCCUAUGUUCCUUCUCCACUCCCACUGCUUCACUUCACCAGCAAAA
Molecule: Y RNA, 101 nt
Filed under: Propithecus coquereli (Coquerel's sifaka)
Lineage: Eukaryota; Metazoa; Chordata; Mammalia; Primates; Indriidae
Description: Y RNA (ENSPCOG00000001975.1)
Rfam family: Y RNA
About the family: Y RNAs are components of the Ro ribonucleoprotein particle (Ro RNP), in association with Ro60 and La proteins.
Source: Rfam by way of RNAcentral